This 219-nucleotide ribosomal RNA is filed under the name Acanthamoeba genotype T4. Its description in RNAcentral is "partial 18S ribosomal RNA". It matches the Rfam family "Eukaryotic small subunit ribosomal RNA", at positions 945 to 1081 of the family's 1831-position model. The record is from RNAcentral. Lineage: Eukaryota; Discosea; Longamoebia; Acanthamoebidae.
GCGAAGCAUCUGCCAGGAUGUUUUCAUUAAUCAAGAACGAAAGUUAGGGGAUCGAAGACGAUCAGAUACCGUCGUAGUCUUAACCAUAAACGAUGCCGACCAGCGAUUAGGAGACGUUGAAUACAAAACACCACCAUCGGUGCGGUCGUCCUUGGCGUCGGUCUUUCGGGGCCGGCGCGGGGGCGGCUUAGCCCGGUGGCACCGGUGAAUGACUCCCCU